GGAGAGCGACGCAGUGCAGCAUGGGUACUGUAGUCAGGUCGAUGAAAGGGCGGAGCUGAUGUGAGCAGGUGCACCACCUUGUCAGAAAAAAAAGUACUCCUUUGGGGUUACUUUUUACUUAGCUUAUACGGUGGCCGAGAACUGCCACUGCUGCAAAGAAAAAAGAAUGCAAAAAAAGAAGGCACAAUGGAAGUUACUGAUGGAAAAAAAAGAAACCGAAGCCUGCUGCAAAUAAAAGAAGAAACGGUGCAGAUAAAAAAAAAAAAGAAGCCACAACAGAAGUUAAUAUCGAAAAAAGUGGAAGGGUUAUUGUUUAAUUUUGCUUCGUGUGCUUUUAAUGUGUCAUUUGGUUAGGCCACGUUGUGCCUGAGUUAAUAUGAAGUUGAACUGGAGGAUGCUGGUGUAGUGUUAGCUUCAGUUCACCUUCGUAUCAACUCAGGUGUUACAGGCCUAACCAAAUGACACAUUGAAAAGCACACAAAGUGAAAUUAAAUGAUAACCUUUCCACUUCUUUGCUCAUCUUCUCUUCGUCAUCUUCUGUGCCCAGAUCGUAAAACACCGGUGCAUCAUCAUUCUUGGUCCCCGGCAGCUCACGUCCAUUGUGGCUUUUUUUCUUUUGCAUCCUUUUAUUUUCGCAGUAAGUAACUUUUUUCCAUCACCACUUUUUUUUUGUGUGUCGUUAACUUCCAUUGUGGCUUUUUUUUCCCAUCUGCACAGUUUCUCUUUUUAUUUGCAGCAGGCUUCAUUUUUUUUUUCUUUUUCUUUUGCAUCAGUAACUUCCGUUGUGACUUCUUUUUUUGCAUUCUUUUUUUAUUUGCAGCAGUGGCGGUUCUCGGCCACCAUAAACUUAACCCAAUUGAUAAUAAAAAAAAAGGAACCACAUGUUUGUUUUUAUUUUUGCCUCCAUUCUUGUUUUAAUGUGUCUAAUUUAUGUGUUAUACUGACUUUUAUAUUUAUUGUUGAAUUUUGGACAGGUGUUAUAAACUGCCUUUGUGUGGCACCAAUAAUCAUGAUCCAUACUGGUCCCAGAACAAAAUGAAGAAAGAUCAAGAAAGUAAAUGAAACUUUUAUCAGCAGGUGAACUAUAAUGCAGCAGUUUAAUUAGGCCAUACUGUUGGAAAACAACAUUAAUUAACAUAGGACUACUAUCACAUGGACUACCAAGCUUAAUCAUAGCAUUUUGUGCCUCCAAUUUUCUUUUAAACCAGUUCAAAUUUAGUGCUUUCCUACACUAUGCCACUCUGUGGAUUAUCAUUAAAAACUCAUAUCAUGUACUUCAAAUGACCUGCCACUUUUGGCAAAUGUCAUUUAAAUUGAAGUUAAUAUUAUCUGAUGAUAAUUCAAGUGGUUUCAUCUUAGAAAAUGUUUUACAUGGAUGCAGGAUCAUUAUCUUUGGAUUGAAAGGUAAUUUGAAAUGGAUCACAAAAUUUUUAAUCCAUAAAAUUAGAAGAAUAGGGGUUAUGUUACAGUCAUUGAAAUGAUGUAGACCCAGAUUAGUUUCUAAUUAAUAUUCCAGAUUAUUAUUUUAAUUUAUUUCCCCCACCAUGAUAACUUUAUGACAGUGAUUUUUGUGCAAAAGCCUGUUUAACUUAAACUCCAGCUAUAAUCAUCAUCAUUUAACCACACUGGACUUUGUUGUUCCUUCACUGCCACAAGUUUAGGCAUGAUGACCAUUCCAAUUUUUUCAACUUACAAAAAAGAGAGUUAGUUUUAAUCAUUUAUUUGCUUCAUGAUAACUUUUAAAACAUUUCUACAAAUAUUUUUUUACAGUGUUGAGGGUAACUGAGCAGUAGCGGUUUGAGUUGUAAGCUUCCUACAUAACAACCAGAGGUAGAGAAUAGCAAAUGUAGGACACAGAACAACAUCAGCAGCAGCGUUUUCUCCUGUCCAGAAAAAGACAAACUGUUUCACAUUUCUUAGGAAAGGAAUAUUCAGGAGCUAAAAACAGGAUAAGCACAAGGGACUCGAAUCAAAAGGGAUGCCAGAAAGAAGAAAGAAAUUGUGUUACAAUUUACUUUUUACUACUUUAGUAUACUGAGUUCAAAAUGUGAAUGGGGGUAAUGUAUUUUUAAAACCCUGUCAGCUGACAGUCACUGGAAUAAAAACAACUCUCUGGUAGAUCUGUCACGGGAGCCUAAUAUGAAAAAGUUUGUGCAGUUCUGGCUGCCUGAGUGAGUCUGCAGGCCUAUUUGCAUCCUGUAAACCUGUCCCAGUAAACUAAUUGGCGUUACUAAUAGAUGGCUGGAUGAACCCCAGCCCUGUAUGGUAAUGAAUUCACACGAUCUGGUGUCAUAGCUGAAGAAAUUGUUAAAAUGCAAAUGAAUGAUGACCCUGUUAUGUGUCUUUCAAUUUAGGCAUCCACAUUACCAGUGCAUGACAAUGAGCCCCUUGUUCAUGCACAAAAAUACAAUCAGGCCUCCGGUGCAGGAACAGGUCAACAUGAGGCCUGGACAGAGAACAGCUGAUUUAAGGAGAGGCCUUUUAAAAUGAGCUAAUUUGAACAAUAUUUUUAGAAGUUCAACCUUAUUUUGAUUUUAUAACUAUAAACUUACAUAAUAUAAUUGUUCAUUUCACUGUCAGACAGUCUCUUGUGUAGGAAAGUGUGUAAAAAUGCACUCUGGAUAGCCUUGCAUGCAUUGUAGUUCCUCAUGUUUUGGUGUGUAAAUGACUUUUCUACAAAAUUUUCUAAACUUCUUCACCACUUACGUAUUCCCUGUCUGAUAAGUCUCUUUUGCCACUAACAGAUGUAAAAAUACAGCACUGUCCUUGCAUGUAAACCAAUUGAGCCUGAUGUUUAUGAUAAUCUGUAACAUUUUUUCAUCCUCCAAAAAGACAAAGAUUGUGCUUUAAGAAAAAGAAAGAGUUUUCCUGGCAGGGCUUUCCACAACUGGACAGCAAAUUUAUCCCAAAAUUAUAGUUCUUUUUCAAACUUGAAUAUAGAGGAAAAUUAUCACAUUGUCGCACGUCAUCCGACAGACUUAGAGGAAAUCAGUCCAAAUGUCUUCAGAGUUAUGUAUUUAUUUUCUCAAUAAGAACAACAGUUGUAAUACAGUUUAGUUUCAUUUCCAACACUGUUUUUAGGGCACACCCUAAAGAAACUUGCCGAAGAGUCAUAUUCCUGAGCAAAUAAAGCUUUCUGUGUGAGUGAUUUUCCACUUUCUGCCUCCGGAGGUCGCUGUAGAUCCCAACUUAUACACCUUCAUUCUUUUUUCAAUUCUGUCCAAAAAAGCCAUACUUUACAGAUAAGAUCACACAGUGAAAACAUCAAAGAAGUGCUGAUGGACAGGGCAGAGACUGAAGUACUUUGUCAUUUCGUGCUUUAAUGAAGUGCUGCGUAUUUGGAUGGAAAAAAUAAAUAUUGUGUAUAUUGAAGUAAAGCAAGACAAUCAAGCAUGAAUUAGUAGGCAGUCUUAACGGUUCAUGCAAGUUCAUGUCAAGAAAAAAAAUCUGUUGAAAUCUACCAGAAAGAUCGAUUCAAGGAAAAGCCUUAGGUAACAAUUCAGACUGUUUAACUGAGUACUUCAGAGAUUCUGUCUUUGUUUGACAGUGUUAACUAUAUUCAGCUUUUCAUCAGGGUUUUAUAUUUAAAGGUGUUCAACACAGACAGCUGUUUGCAAGUAAAAAAGAAUGAUGAAGAUGAUCCUUAUCUGUACCCCAUGUGAUGCAGCCUAAAUGGCAUCUCAGCAUGCUUUCUCAGUGAUUUACUUUUUGAAAUCAUGUUAAAUUGAGCAUCCAAAAAACAGCUUAAUGUCAUCUUCUCUCCUUCUCUCCUUAAUUUUGUCUAAGAAUCAUUUGUUAAUAUCUCUUGAGCUUUUUCUUUACUUCCACUUUUCCAUUUCUUUCUGUUGACAGAGAAAUAUCCUUACAUCAGUUGCAAGUUUUCUGUGAAUUUGACUAGCAAUUUUACUGGUAAAUCUGGGGAUAAAGAUGUUUAAGCUCAUUUAAAUUCACAGUAAAUUCUGUUUUUAGCGUUUAAAGCACUAGGGGUCCAAAAUAAUAAUUUAAACCCAUAAGCAGUAGCUCAAAGGGGAUACAGAAAAGGCUAGAUUCGGGGUAAGUGCCUCACACACAUGACAUUUUAUUAGGCAACUCUUGCUGAUUUGAGGGAGGACCAUAAAGUAAAACUGUUUGUAGUAAAGUUUUAAUAAGAAUUUAAAGUGAACAUGUUAAUUUAUGACACAGAGAGUCUUCUUAAAAGUUUCAGUUUCUCUAUCAUUGGCAACAUGUUUUGCAAUAAGUGGGAAAUGUAAAUGUGUUUUGGACCUUGGCCUUUUUACCUUGGAACACUGGCAGGAAAUGAAAAAAAAAACAUAUUGUAAACAAAUGAUAGGCAGAGCAAAAUUUAUUCAAGCAAAGUGUGGUAAUAUUUUAACUAAGUGUCUGAUUUUGGUUUUAAUAAUAAUAAAAUGUCAUUAGAAUAAAUAUAAAAUUGACUCAAAACAAGCUCCAAACUUCCAGUGAAUAAACCUUAAUAAUUAAGAAACCUAAGACCACUUUCAUCCAUCUAUUUAUCAAUGAAAACAUCAUUCCAUUCAACCAUGCAUCCAUCCAUCCAUUAAAACAUCAAUUCAUUCUUCCUUCCAUCCAUCCAUUCAUCCAUCGAUCCAUCCAUCCAUGAAAAUACUAAUCCAUUCAUCAAUCUAUCUAUCCAUCCAUCCAUCGAUGAAAACAUCCAUCCAUCCAUCCAUGAAAAUACUUAUCCAUCCAUCCAUCCAUGAAAAUACUUAUCCAUUCAUCAAUCUAUCUAUCCAUCCAUCCAUGAAAACAUCCAUCUAUCCAUCCAUGAAAAUACUAAUCCAUUCAUCAAUCCAUCCAUCCAUGAAAACAUCCAUCCAUCCAUCCAUCCAUCCACGAAAAUACUAAUCCAUUUAUCAAUCUAUCCAUCCAUCUAUAAAAGCAUCCAUCCAUCCAUCCAUCCAUCGAAGAAAACAUCAAUCUGUUCAUCCAGCCAUUCAUCUAUGAAAACAUAAAUCUAUUCACUUUUUUAUACACUCUUACAUGAAAACAUUAAUUUUUUUAUCCAUUUAUCUUUUAUCUUUAAUUUAUCUUUUUACCUACCCAUCAGUGAAAGUUUCAAUUCAUCCAUUCAACCGUAAAUUUAUUCAUUCUUUUAUUAUCCUUUUUUCCAAAAAUCACCCAUCCACAUCUCCAUCCAUUUUUCAUCCCUCCAUACAAUCAUCCAUAUCAGUCCAUCAACUGGCCUUUGAUCCAUCCAUCCAUCAAUCCAUCCAGACAAUAUUGUAAAAAAAAUCUUCCUAUCUACCUACCAAGCUUUCCCUCUUUUCAUCCAUGUGUUUUCCCUUCCAUCCAUUCAUCUAUCCAUCCGUCCAUCUUUCAGUCCAAGAACCUCAACAUCAUGCAGCUGCAAGCAUUUUCCACAGUGUGUCCAACAGUUCCCCUCAUCAUUUCUGUAAUAGAGGCGAUGCAGGAGGGGAGACACUCUGGGAGACUCUGGCCGGCUGACAGAGUGAGAGGAAAGAAAGGAGGGGGGAGGCAGACAGAUGUUUGAAUCUCAGCCUGGGACCUGAUGAGAUCCAACCAUCCUCCAAGGCUUAGACAAUAACCGAGAGAAGGAAGCAAUGUCUAUUAGGACAAUUGGCUGCCCUCUUUCCUUUCUGUAUCCAAGACAGCUUGAUCAUCCUUUUUUUUCUCCUCCCAGAGGUGAGCAGUAUCUCCAAACCCAUGAUAGGUUUUAACAUCCUGAACAAAGCCUUCAAUAAGGGGGAUAGAGGUCAAUCUGUUUGAGGUGAAAUAAUGGCCAACAUAUAAUAUUUUGACGCCAGAUAGAAGACACAAAACCUCAUAGAAAAAUUUUUGGGGAUUUCAUUUAAAAAGUGCUUUUCUUGGCCUAAAAAUCAGAUCUUUUAGAUCAUAUUUCAGGAUUACAACAUGAAAUUGUUGCUUGAAGAUUCUUAAUUUGGAAAAUAGGGCUAAAAAAUACUAAGGCAGAUACUCAGUUUUUCUAUUCUAUCAUAUUUCAAUUCAAAGUACAGACUUAACGCACUUGUACCUGUCAAACAAGGCCAUAAACUUUACUUAGAGACUGACAAUGUGACAACUCCCCAAAAGUUGUGAAAAACACACCUGGUGGUGACUGGCUUCAGUUAAGGUCAUGUAAAUAACAAUUAAAAACUUUGGUCCAAAUGUGUUAUUUUGUUAUAGAGUGUAUUCUUAUUACGCUGACUUUGGGUCUGUAUCCACUAAAAGUGUCCUCCACACCACCAGGAACCUCUAUAAUUUCUGUAGGACUCUCAUCAGCGCAAACUGUUGCAGGAUUAGUUUUCCUCCUGACUCAAGAGUCAGUUACUGUAAGUUGUUCAUGCAUCGCAGACUGCGCUGACUUCAGAAAUCCUCUGUGUCUUCAAUGUAUGUUUAUCAUGUGCUUUGAUUAGUGGAGAGGUUGCGAAGUCAAAAUCAACUCCACCUGCUGAUACCCACUCCAGCACCAAAAACAUUUGCAGCAUUUGGUUUCACUACAUGGUAGGAGAAGGUGGACACAUGUUACCCUCACAAAGUCAAUGGAUAAAACCAGUACAGCUCUCUGUUCCUUACACUCUCCAAAAGAAAAAAAAAUCAAGUCUUUUGUUUUUCCAACUGAGGGUGGGAGGAAGUUGGUCAUUACAGUUUAAUAAUCUGAUAAUCUGGCCCAGUGUGGCUGCUGUUGUAGUCUGGAAUGCAGCCAUUUCGACUGAGUGUAAAAUAUUCAUGAGCAUCCAAUGGAAGCCCAUCUGACUGGCUGGGGAACAGCUGCUGGGUCUCUGUGCCUCUAGAGGUGCAGCAUCUGUCCAUUUGAAGGGAGUGAAUAUGUGUUUGUGUAAGUGUGUAAAAAGUGUGUGUCUCCAAGUGUGUGUGUCUGCCUUUCUAGACAAGUGAGUGUGUAUGAGAGCCCACACUCUGAUCUAUGUGUGUGCGUGUCUCAUGGGGACCAGACAUCAGGAGGAACAACUGUGUAUUUAACUUGCUUCUCUCCAGAUGGUGGCGGAUCAUUUUAGAAAUGAUCAAAAAGCUAGUCUCAAUUUUAUCAGGAUAUGUGCUUGUCAAUCAAAUAUCACUUUCGCUCGUACACAGGAGGAGAGCAGCAUGUGUGCAGUCGACUCUGCUGCGUGUUUAAGUGAAGAUGUCUUGUACAUCUCAAGUCUCUGCCUUUCUAUAUGCAACUGUUGUGUCUCACUAUCAGCACAUCUCAGUCUCACAGUAUGUGUGUGUGUGUACGUGUGUGUGUGUGUGUGUGGGCUGUUCGCACCCGUGCGUGUGAAGCUCACAGAGAGCUGUGCAGUUCUGGCGACGGCUGUAUGAUGGACAUCUGGAAGCCAAAUUGGUUAAUGGCGCCUCCAAGCCAACAGCCAGCCGGCCGUCCCUCCACCGAGCUAAGUGUGUGUGUGCCUGGAAGUGUGUGUGUAUUGCAGGGGGUGGGCUAAAGAAAUGGAGGGGGGGUUCUACAUCUGGCCAGUUGUCCGACCACAGACAAACAUCCCUGUUGAGCAUUUAAGGGCUUUUAUCCUCCAAUUUCUUUUCAUUAUUAUUAUUUUUAAUUUUUUGUUUGUUUUGUCAAACUUCUUUUUCUUCAUUAUCACAGAAAAAAGAAACAAACAAACAAAAAAAACAGUUUUAUUUUUGGUUCCCACAUCACAAAAAUGUUGCAUGAUGCAGCUUUAUAUUUGGGUGCUUUUUCCUGUAAGAAAUGUCUAUGUCUGUACAUAGGAACUGCACACAGCAGCUUCAAAAUAUUUUUUUUCUGCUGGGCAAACUUGGUCGCCUCUCGUAUUUUCCCAAAUGUACAAUCUUAUAUUUGAGCAACAGGAAUUCACCUGAACUCUUGUAGAGAAAGCAGCAGUGGAAGGAGUAGGCAGUAAGUAGGAUCUAAUGUUUUGGAUCGCCGAAAAUCGCCUUCAGGCAAGGAGUUCACAGCUGUGGAGAACGGACUGGUAAUGCUCGGUCACCUCUUGUGACUGGUCAAAAUUUAGGAAACCACAAGUAAGGCCCAGCUAGAGGACCUCAGGCUGCAGUCAGGCUCAUAGAGAGUUAUCAGUUCACAGCUCAAAGAAAAUGUUUGAGUUAAAAGUGAUUGCUAACUUGUGGGUGUCUUUGUGAAUAUUAUAAGGUAGGGAACCCAGGCUGAAGGACGGAUUAUAAUGUAGAUUUAGAGUCAUUCAGCAGUAGAAAAUUUUAGGACAUCUUAUUCUAGACAAUGUACAUCCCUUCACUGAAUUUGAACCCAGCACCUUUUCACUCAACAUCACAGGAUGUUUGACAAUGUGCACCUUUUCGGUCAUGUCACUUCAAUAUUUGGUAACGCUGCAUUAGAGGCCGUCUCAGAUUUUAGUUUGAAGAAAGGAUUACGUGUCCAUCCAAUGAGGGAAGUCCUAAGCCUCCAAAGCGUCCAAGCUGGGAUUCGAACCCAAAACCAUUUUGUUCCGAGGUAGCAGGGCCAAGCAUCACACCACAGGCCUGCUUGUUAAUAUUUACCUAUAAAGUUAUUUCUGUUUUAAUUUUCUAUUGCCUUGUUUCAAAAGCUUAAUAAAGACUUCAGUGUGAGAAGCGCAUUCCAUCCCUGCUUAACAUGGAAAGUUUGUGUUCAGGAUUUGAACCCUGAACUAUUCCAAUCAAAGGUGUUUGCUCACAGCAUGGGUCGGUCGUUUUAUCUCAAGUCUUUUCAUUUCACUGUUUUAUUACAAUGUUUUCAAAGCUGUGUUUAGAGUGAGUGUGGCAAAAGCAUUUAAUUCCUGCUUUGUAUGACAAACAAGGUCAUUUCUACCUUUGAGGGGUCAAUCAUGGUCUCCCUCAGGUGGUUUAAAGUUUGCAAACUGAAUUUUGUUAGCGGCAGUCCUGACAGUCAACUUACAUGACCAAGAUCUGCUGCUGGUUUGUGACAAAGAAUCAUAUCAGCACCUACUGUUUGGAAAUUACAAGAACAGAAGACCUGAAUCAUUUGCAUUUCUUAAAAUUACACUUCAAGAAAAAACUCCAGACCUUAGAGAUAGCUUCUCUAGUUACAGCUGCUGGAUCUAUCCAGGACGAAUAAACAUACAAACAAAGAGAGUAAGAAGGGAAAGGGAGAAUAGGAAACACUAACAUGGACAGAUCUUUAAAUAAAUACAGCCACAGCAGAUGCAUAACCGCCAUAGUCCAAGCCAAGACUGCACAAACAGCCGUGUGAUCUCUUCAAAUCUUUAUUGUGAGAUAUCAGAGAUCUUGUUGAAAUAAAAAGCGUCACUGUAGCCUCUGUUCUGUGUGUCUGUCUCUCUGUCCGCUUGUCUGUCACUGCAGUCCAGAUGUCAGAGGAACCAGCCAACAGCUGUGACAGGAAAUGAGCCCCCAGGCAGUGAAAAGGCCAGUACACUUCCACACGAAACAAAGCCAAAUAUGCACACACACAUGCGCACACACACACACACACACACACACACACACACACACACACACACACACACACACACACACACACACACACACACACACCACUGUGCGAUUCUGAGCAUCUCAAUGACCAUGUUCCUCUAAGAUUCUCCAUGGGUGUAUAAAUAUCAGUAAAACACAAAACAAGGUAUUGUGUGACAGUAACAGUAUUUGUGUGUUCUCAUUGUUGGAUUCAUCAUUUUUAAGUCAAAAUGUGUGUAUAUGGGUGAUAUUAUGCCAGCCUGCCACAUCGCCAGCCCCCGAGCCAGCGGGAACAUUUGCCUUGUGGCUUCAAUUCCCAGGAAUCCCUAACCUGCGCCAGCUGUUGAGAACAUGUUACCUGUGCCAACAAUGUGCCGCCUCUGCCCACCACAUCAGCUGCCGCUCUGUCUCCAUCUGGGUGCAAAAUUGGAUUUUUGUGCAUGUUGUUGUUUGUCAGUGGCUUACUGUAUCUUUAACUCUCGCCACAUCUGUAUUUGUACUCACAUCUGCCUCUCUCAUGUGCAGAGUGUAACUGUGUUUAUGCACGUAUUGAUGUUCCUGAUGUUGUCUGCUCUGCAUGUCUAUGUGUAUGUGUAAACUCUGUGUGAGUAUGUGUGUCUCCAUCUGUGUGUGCGCCGGGCCUCCCUUGCCUGCAUCUGGAGCGCCAUUGAAGAGGCUAUCCAACAAGCCUGCCAAACAGCCCAGAUGUUAGUUCUGUAAGCCUCGGGCUAAAUGGGGGGGAGCCAUACUCUCUCUAUACAGGGAUAGUAAAUUACAACCUUUUUUCAAUUACAACCUUGUUUUUAAUACUUCCUAUGCUGAUCUAUCUAUCUAUCUAUCUAUCUAUCUAUCUAUCUAUCUAUCUAUCUAUCUAUCUAUCUAUCUAUCUAUCCAUCUAUCUACAAUAAUAAAUACAUGUAUACAAAUGAGCUUUUAACGUGUCUUACUCAGUCAGUACAUUAACAUGCAUAGCCAAGUCGAACUACAAUUAUAGUUCAACUAGGCGAUUUUUAAAUGGACCACUGUUCUUAUACCAGUUUACAAAGACAAAAUUAAAAUACUGAGACAAAAGUGUCUUCUGCAGCUAUGAUAAGUG
Molecule: long non-coding RNA, 10474 nt
Filed under: Xyrichtys novacula (pearly razorfish)
Lineage: Eukaryota; Metazoa; Chordata; Actinopteri; Labriformes; Labridae
Source: RNAcentral